GAUGAACGCUGACAGAAUGCUUAACACAUGCAAGUCAACUUGAAUUUGGGUUUUUAACUUANAUUUGGGUGGCGGACGGGUGAGUAACGCGUAAAGAACUUGCCUCACAGCUAGGGACAACAUUUAUAAAUGAAUGCUAAUACCUGAUAUUAUGAUUUUAAGGCAUCUUAGAAUUAUGAAAGCUAUAAGCACUGUGAGAGAGCUNUGCGUCCCNUUANCUAGUUGGAGAGGUAACAGCUCACCAAGGCGAUGAUGGGUAGCCGGCCNGNGAGGGUGAACGGCCACAAGGGGACUGANACACGGCCCUUACUCCUACGGGAGGCAGCAGUGGGGAAUAUUGGACAAUGGACCGAGAGUCUGAUCCNGCAUUCUGUGUGCACGAUGAAGUUUUUCGGAAUGUAAAGUGCUUUCAGUUGGGAAGAAAGAAAUGACGGUACCAACCGAAGAAGUGACNGCUAAAUACGUGCCAGCAGCCGCGGUAAUACGUAUGUCACGAGCGUUAUCC
Molecule: ribosomal RNA, 505 nt
Filed under: uncultured Fusobacterium sp.
Lineage: Bacteria; Fusobacteriati; Fusobacteriota; Fusobacteriia; Fusobacteriales; Fusobacteriaceae
Description: bacterial SSU rRNA
Rfam family: Bacterial small subunit ribosomal RNA
Source: RNAcentral